CGCCCGCCGCGCGCGGCGGGCGGGGCGGGGGCACGGGGGCCUACGGGAGGCAGCAGUGGGGAAUAUUGCACAAUGGGGGAAACCCUGAUGCAGCAACGCCGCGUGGAGGAAGAAGGUCUUCGGAUUGUAAACUCCUGUCUUCUGGGACGAAAUAUGACGGUACCAGAGGAGGAAGCCACGGCUAACUACGUGCCAGCAGCCGCGGUAAU
RNAcentral lists this ribosomal RNA (209 nucleotides) under uncultured bacterium. RNAcentral describes it as "partial 16S ribosomal RNA". It matches the Rfam family "Bacterial small subunit ribosomal RNA", at positions 284 to 524 of the family's 1533-position model. The record is from RNAcentral.